AUGUAAAGGGAGGACCGACAGCUUCUCUUCUAAAGGACGCCCCAUGGUGGCUGGGCGGCACCGUCUGCAAAGUCCAUCCCCAAAAUUGACCAUUCCCCGGCAGUCCUUCCCCCAAACUGAUACUUCUACUUACGCCACUCCGUCAUGAAGGUUUCUUGGCUUUGUUUGCAGCAUCUGAAUCUGAUAGGAAGUGGGUUGGCAAUGAAAGCCAUGGUAGAAGCAGCAGGACCAGAGUGCGUUGUCCCCUGACAAGUUACACCCAUCAAAUUACUGUUACACCCAUCAAAUUACUCGGUGUCAAGUUUAUUUUUUUCCAUCUUCAUUAUCAUCAGAAUGAGAGUCUUAGAAAUUUAGUUUAUUUUUUAAUAUUUAACUUCGCAAAUUUGAUGAAAUAUUUGGUGAUUUAUUACAUGACUGAUUUUCAUUUGAUUUCUUUAUUUUUUACAUGACUGAUUUCUUUGGUUGAUUGAUCUUUAGAGAUUUCUUUGGGCACCUAUGAGUGGAAAUUGCUGGAUGCUAAAUGCAGCUCUCCGAUGUUUGCAGUAGGACUUCAGGGC
This is a long non-coding RNA of Juglans microcarpa x Juglans regia, 557 nucleotides long. RefSeq lists it as uncharacterized. NCBI's taxonomy places the organism in Eukaryota, Viridiplantae, Streptophyta, Magnoliopsida, Fagales, Juglandaceae. The transcript is spliced from 2 exons. The record is from RefSeq and is a predicted model, not a curated record.